RNAcentral lists this non-coding RNA (29 nucleotides) under Rattus norvegicus (Norway rat). Lineage: Eukaryota; Metazoa; Chordata; Mammalia; Rodentia; Muridae. The record is from RNAcentral.
CUGGUGGUCAACAUGUAGAAGAAUGCAAA